RNAcentral lists this ribosomal RNA (440 nucleotides) under uncultured bacterium. Its description in RNAcentral is "partial 16S ribosomal RNA". It matches the Rfam family "Bacterial small subunit ribosomal RNA", at positions 338 to 795 of the family's 1533-position model. The record is from RNAcentral.
CCUACGGGUGGCAGCAGUAGGGAAUAUUGCUCAAUGUGGGAAACCCUGAAGCAGCAACGCCGCGUGGAGGAUGACGGUUUUAGGAUUGUAAACUUCUUUUGUGAGAGAAGAUAAUGACGGUAUCUCACGAAUAAGCACCGGCUAACUCCGUGCCAGCAGCAGCGGUAAUACGGCGGGGGCAGGCGUUACUCGGAAUCACUGGGCGUAAAGAGUGCGCAGGCGGGCUGGUAAGUCAGAUGUGAAAUCCUGUAGCUUAACUACAGAACUGCAGUGGAAACUAUGAGUCUAGAGUGUGGGAGAGGUAGGUGGAAUUCUUGGUGUAGCGGUAAAAUGCGUAGAUAUCAAGAGGAAUACUCAUGGCGAAGGCGACCUACUGGAACAUUACUGACGCUCAUGCACGAAAGCGUGGGGAGCAAACAGGAUUAGAUACCCCUGUAGUG